Molecule: ribosomal RNA, 459 nt
Filed under: uncultured bacterium
Lineage: Bacteria
Description: partial 16S ribosomal RNA
Rfam family: Bacterial small subunit ribosomal RNA
Source: RNAcentral
CCUACGGGAGGCAGCAGUGAGGAAUAUUGGUCAAUGGCCGGAAUGCUGAACCAGCCAUGCCGCGUGAAGGUCAGUGCCCUAUGGGCGUGAAACUUCUUUUGUUCGGGAGCAAUAAUGGUCACGUGUGGCCAGACGAGAGUACCGUACGAAUAAGCAUCGGCUAACUCCGUUCCAGCAGCCGCGGUAAUACGGGGGAUGCAAGCGGUAUCCGGAUUUAUUGGGGUUAAAGGGUGUGCAGCCGGGAAGACAAGUCAGAUGUGAAAUCGCGGGGCUCAACCGCGGAAGUGCAGUUGAAACUGUUUUACUUGAGUAGGGGAGAGGUCAGCGGAAUGCGCGGUGUAGCGGUGAAAUGCGUAGAUAUAAGGAAGAACACCAGUGGCGAAGGCGGAGGACUGGACGGCAACUGACGGUGAGGCGCGAAAGCGUGGGGAGCAAACAGGAUUAGAUACCCGAGUAGUC